GGGCGGAUGUAGCCAAGUGGAUUAAGGCGGCGGAUUGUGAAUCCACCAUGC
RNAcentral lists this transfer RNA (51 nucleotides) under Convolvulus floridus. RNAcentral describes it as "partial tRNA-His". Lineage: Eukaryota; Viridiplantae; Streptophyta; Magnoliopsida; Solanales; Convolvulaceae. The record is from RNAcentral.